Molecule: long non-coding RNA, 4160 nt
Filed under: Salmo salar (Atlantic salmon)
Lineage: Eukaryota; Metazoa; Chordata; Actinopteri; Salmoniformes; Salmonidae
Description: lncRNA (ENSSSAG00000090441.1, ENSSSAG00000098508.1)
Source: RNAcentral
CAGCAGUAUAUGAAAACAUCAUGGUUGAAGGUUGUACUGAUUUUGAAUGAUUGAAGUCCUGACUUGUGGUCCAGUAAUGAUCCAGGCGAUACUGCCUGGUCAGGAGGAAGACCAAUGACUCCCCCUUGUGGAUACUACUGGUAUUUAACAUUUCAGAUAUAUAGGGAAGAUAUUACACAAAUCAAACGUUUCUUAGGCAGGUGCUGGAUAUCACAAAGAAUGUUCAGAAAGCUGAUAAAAUACUGAUGUUUUUCUCUACUGAUAUACACAACCUACUCUUGACUUUCAAGGGGAACAAAUGAUAGAAUCCCCCAAAAAAUUACAUAAAAAAACAGAUGUCUUAAUUGGUUAAGCAUAAACCCCACCCCCUAGAUACUAUCAAUAUAUUAGACAUGGUGCAUGCUGGUCCAUUCUCUACUUAAUAUCUUCCUAUCAGCUCCUCGUGUAGCAGAGGGCCUCACUGAUACACAAACAACAUCUAGAAUACAGGAAGCAUCUUUCAAAUUCAUCCAAUCACAACAAACAUGUUUCAUAAAGCACCUGAGAUCAAACAACAACAACUGGUAUAGUAUUAUACCUCAUCAAAUAACCAUCAGCUAUUCCCUUCAAACAGACCCCUACUUAGCACAUUCUGGAUAUAUCAUUAUUGUAGUUAAAAAUCUUCUCUCUUGAGAAUAACAGUGGAUGAAAAUGAAUGAAAUGACAUAAUCAAAGAAAAUAAUACCCUCCCUACAAUGAAACAUGGGGGAGGUUGGAUAACCAACCCUCCUUACAAUCAAACAUGGGGAGGUUGGAUAACCAACCCUCCUUACAAUCAAACAUGGGGGAGGUUGGAUAACCAACCCUCCUUACAAUCAAACAUGGGGGAGGUUGGAUAAUGAACCCUCCCUACAAUGAAACAUGGGGGAGGUUGGAUAACCAACCCUCCUUACAAUCAAACAUGGGGGAGGUUGGAUAAUGAACCCUCCUUACAAUAAAACAUGGGGAGGUUGGAUAACCACCCCUCCUUACAAUAAAACAUGGGGAGGUUGGAUAAUGAACCCUUCCUACAAUAAAACAUGGGGAGGUUGGAUAAUGAACCCUUCCUACAAUAAAACAUGGGGAGGUUGGAUAAUGAACCCUUCCUACAAUAAAACAUGGGGAGGUUGGAUAAUGAACCCUUCCUACAAUAAAACAUGGGGGAGGUUGGAUAAUGAACCCUUCCUACAAUAAAACAUGGGGGAGGUUGGAUAAUGAACCCUUCCUACAAUAAAACAUGGGGGAGGUUGGAUAAUGAACCCUUCCUACAAUAAAACAUGGGGGAGGUUGGAUAAUGCUGGGGGUUUUGUGCAAGACAUCAUGAAAUCUGAAGAUUCUAAAGGUGUUUUGAAGAGUGGAUUGUACAAUAUGUGCCCAUUAUUCUAUAAAACAUUUCUUCAAGCUCUGUCAAGUUGCUAGACAGUCAUUUUCCUGUUUUGCCAUUGAUUUUCAAGCUGAUUUAAGUAAAAAAGGCCAGGAACAUUCAAUAUCAUCUUGGUAAGCAACUCCAGUGUAUAUUUGGCCUUGUGUUUUAGGUUAUUGUCCUGCUGAAAGGUUAAUUCAUCUCCCAGUAUCUGGUGGAAAGCAGACUGAACCAGGUUUUCCUCUAGGAUUAUGCCUGUGCUGAGCUCCAUUCCCUGGUAGGCCGUCAUUGUAAAUAAGAAUUUGAUCUUAACUGACUUGCCUAGUUUAAAGGUUUAUUUAAAGGUUCAAUAAUUUUUUUAAAUCCCAUUAUUUUUAUCCUAAAAAACUCCCUAGUCCUUGCAGAUAAGAUGAUGCAGCCAGCCACCACCGUGCUGGAAAAUAUGAUGAGUGGUACUCAGUGAUGUGUUGGAUUUGCCCCAAACAUAAUGGAAGUAUUCUGGACAAAAAUAAAAUGUGUCAAUUUUUUUUCAGUAUUACUAGUUGCCUGCCUUGUUGCAAACAGGAUGCAUAUUUUAUUCUGUACUGGCUUCCAUCUUUUCACUCUGUCAUUUAGGUUGGUAUUGUGGAGUAACUACAAUGUUGUUGAUCCAUCUUCAGUUUUCUAUCACAGCCAUUGAUACACCAUCCAAAGUGUAAUUAAUAACUUCACCAUGCUUAAAGAGAUAUUCAAUGUCUGCUUAUUUUUUAUUUUUACCCAUCUACCAAUAGGAGCCUUUCUUUAUGAAGCAUUGUGGUUGAAUCUGUGUCUGAAAUUCACUGUUCGACUGAGGGACCUUACAGAUAAUUGUAUGUGUGUGGUACAGAGAUGAGGUAGUCAUUUAAAAAUCAUGUUAAAUACACAGACUGAGUCCAUGCAACUUAUUAUGUGACUUGUUAAGCACAUUUUUACUCCUGAACUUAUUUUGGCGUUUCCAUAACAAAAGGAUGGAAUCAUUAAUGAUUUUAGACUUUUCAUUUUUUAUUAAUUUGUAAAACAAUUAUAAAAACAUAACUCCACUUUGACAUUAUGGAGUAUUGUGUGUAGGCCAAUGACACAACAUCUAAAUGUAAUGAAUGUUAAAUUCAGGCAGUAACACAACAAAAUGUGGAUAAAGUCCAGGUGUGUGAAUACUUUCUGAAAGCUCAGUAACUAAACAUGUACAAACUCCUGGGUGGCCAUUUGUUUCUAUUGUCUACAUUAAACUUCAGUUUGGGUUCUCCAGUGUUGCCAAUCCAAUAACAAGGAGACUAAAGGUUUUCUACAAUUUCAACUUAUUUGACAAUAGAGAAUUCUUUAGGAAGUGCCAGGGAUCAACGUACUCAGCCACCACUGUAUGUAUAUACCCCCCGUUGCAUAACCAAGCAAACUCCUCUGCACAAUAGUGAUGGGAAAUCAAUAGUUACAUUUCAGGAUAUUAUUUAGUGACGAUAUAUUGUACUGCAUCAUUUUGACAAUAUCACAAUACUGUUUUUGUGCUAGUUGUCUGUACCUCCAGCAGAACUCCAGGAUUUCUCCUUCAUAGCUUGUUCUUAAAUAGGAAGACAAUUUGUUUUCAGCACUUUUAUGUCCAUGACUGAUCAAAACUUGUUUUCUCAUGCUUUCUUGUAUCUCUACAGCAGACAUAUGGUGAAAAAUAUGUUUGGAACAUCAAAUCACAAUGGAAUAGCAGUACAUAUAGAAUCAUGUGUCUCAACACAUAUCGUAACGCCACCUAAGUAUCAUGACAAUAUGGUAUGGUGAGGUCCCUGGUAACUCCAGCCCCAGAAGCUUUAAAGUAUCUGUGAACGGCUGUGUUACGAUCACGUCAUAGGCCAUGUUUAGGAUGUCAUGUAGUCAAGACCUUGGCAACUACCCAGAUGACUUCUGGCACAAAAUGGUUGCUGUUGAUCACCGUAGGAAAUCCACAUUUAUUUAUUUAAACUUUAUCUAACUAGGCAAGUCAGUUAACAACAAAUUCUUAUUUACAGUGACGGCCUAGGAACGGUGGGUUAACUGCCUUGUUCAGGGGCAGAACGACAGAUUUUUACCAUGUCAGCUCGGGGAUUCGACCUUGCAACCUUUCGGUUACUGGCCCAACGCUCUAACCACUAGGCUACGUGCCGCCCCAUAUUGGUGGUGGAAGAGAUGAGAUUCCCCCUUCACUAUCAGAGUCAUUUUCCCAGAGCCCUUUGAGCUCUGGAAAAAUACAUCCAAUCAAUCAUUAUUACCUAGAGCCCUCAAAUUCUAAUCCGGACCUUGAAGACCUUCCAGUGCUUUUUUCAUUAUUCUCCUCUGAUCAGGGACUGAUUUAGACCUGGGACAUCAGGUGGGUGAUAUUAACUAUCAGGUAGAACUGAUUUAGACCUGGGACAUCAGGUGGGUGAUAUUAACUAUCAGGUAGGACUGAUUUAGACCUGGGACAUCAGGUGGGUGAUAUUAACUAUCAGGUAGGACUGAUUUAGACCUGGGACAUCAGGUGGGUGAUAUUAACUAUCAGGUAGAACAGAUUUCCCCAAGAGCUUCAUUCUUCUUCUGCAUCUUCAAACUGGUCGGCCGUGGUGGUGGUGAGUGCAGCAGUAUGCUCCCAGUGGCGCCCCCAGAGGACAGGAGGGGUAUGGUGCACGGAGGGGGUGUAGUGGUAGUGUACCUGGACUGGCCAGGGAGAGGGCACACUGCUAGGGUGGGACUGGGAGGGAUGGACAACACCUGGGCUCAACAGGUCCUCUGGGGCUACAGGGAGAGGUGAGGAGAGCGAGGG